UCCAGACUCCUACGGGAGGCAGCAGUGAGGAAUAUUGGUCAAUGGUCGGGAGACUGAACCAGCCAAGCCGCGUGAGGGACGACGGCCCUACGGGUUGUAAACCUCUUUUGCCGGGGGACAAACGGCGGCACGCGUGCCGUCCUGAGGGUACCCGGAGAAAAAGCAUCGGCUAACUCCGUGCCAGCAGCCGCGGUAAUACGGAGGAUGCGAGCGUUAUCCGGAUUUAUUGGGUUUAAAGGGUGCGUAGGCGGGAUGCAAAGUCAGCGGUAAAAUACGGGGGCUCAACCUGCGUCCGCCGUUGAAACUGGCGUUCUUGAGUGGGCGAGAAGUACGCGGAAUGCGUGGUGUAGCGGUGAAAUGCAUAGAUAUCACGCAGAACCCCGAUUGCGAAGGCAGCUCACUGGACUGCAACUGACACUGAGGCUCGAAAGUGUGGGUAUCAAACAGGAUUAGAUACCCUGGUAC
This 465-nucleotide ribosomal RNA is filed under the name uncultured bacterium. Its description in RNAcentral is "bacterial SSU rRNA". It matches the Rfam family "Bacterial small subunit ribosomal RNA", at positions 330 to 793 of the family's 1533-position model. The record is from RNAcentral.